CACAUUUUAGAUAAUGGGGGAAACCUUGUGGAUGCGGCUAAUAUUGCUGCUUUGGCUGCUUUGUCAACUUUUCGAAGACCCGAGUGUUCAUUGGGGGGAGAUGAUGGUCAGGAAGUGAUAGUUCAUCCCCCUGAGGUUAGGGAGCCACUUCCGUUGAUCAUACAUCAUCUCCCUGUUGCAGUAACCUUUGCAUUUUUCCGUAGUG
Molecule: unclassified non-coding RNA, 205 nt
Filed under: Hevea brasiliensis (rubber tree)
Lineage: Eukaryota; Viridiplantae; Streptophyta; Magnoliopsida; Malpighiales; Euphorbiaceae
Source: RNAcentral